UGAGUGGUGUUUGGUUUGUUACGGGUGGUUGGCUCUUUGCUUGCGCAACAACUUCUACCUGGCAUACCUCUUCAGUCUUGUGUCAAUGCUUGUAUUGCAUUGAAUGCACGGUGGGUUUCUUGUGUUGCAUACCUAAUUUAAUGGUAUUGCUUGGUGUAUUGGUUUUCCUUUCGUUUUGCAUUGCCUAUGCGAUGUGAGAUGAACCUUGAAGCAGCCUUUGUGAUCCACUGAUUUGAUGUAUAUGCAUUGAUUUUGUGGCCCAUUGAGUGUUGCUCGGUCUCAUGGAUAUGGAACCUGGUGUGGGCAUGGAAUCUUAAUGGUUCCUUGUUUGCCCAAGUUUAGCUUUUCUAAAACGAUUGUCUAUCAUGUGUUAACAUGCCAGACUACUUCGGAUAUGAAUGCUAC
This 405-nucleotide unclassified non-coding RNA is filed under the name Pseudognaphalium luteoalbum. RNAcentral's name for it is "partial external transcribed spacer". The record is from RNAcentral. Lineage: Eukaryota; Viridiplantae; Streptophyta; Magnoliopsida; Asterales; Asteraceae.